RNAcentral lists this long non-coding RNA (848 nucleotides) under Danio rerio (zebrafish). RNAcentral's name for it is "si:ch211-69b22.4 (ENSDARG00000099086.3)". The record is from RNAcentral. Lineage: Eukaryota; Metazoa; Chordata; Actinopteri; Cypriniformes; Danionidae.
UCCUGUUGUAACGCAAGCAAGACUGUUUAGUUCACGUCUCCCCCAAACAUACAAGGAAAGAAAAAGUAAUAUGUGGAAUCACUUGAGGGCCGGGUCAGCGCUGAAGUUUCCACAAGUAUAUUUUCACAGGAGAGCACAAGAUCCAUAUGACCGUCUAUUUUCUGCCAACACAGCAACAUGAAAAUCCAUCAUCUGCAACUCAUGAUCGCCCUGGAAUCGGUGGUCCAUUUAAAGCGAAUGCAUCUUCGGCCUGGCCACAAUGCCUCCAUGUCAGUUAGCCGCAAGUCCACGUCAACGCAAUUUGAACGUUCUAGAGCCACCUAUCCAACUGAUCAGAUAUAUAAAUCACAACAUGACGCAAGAAGGCUCUUACAUGUUACUUAUAAAAUAGCAAACACUGACAUAUACAUAAACACUCACCUUAUUCACUGCUUUAUACACCUCCAGGUUAAUUUGUGCGUUAUGAUGCAUGGAGUCACCGAUAUCUGUUUUCUUCGUAAUCUUGUGCAAUUUCUUGUAGUCUGGUUCAAAGUCUCAGUCCAACUAGGAGAGUAAGGCACAGAGCUGGACUCCAUAAAUCUGUAUGGGCCAGGCCUUCACUGGUCAGGAACGCCAUGGGAGUGUCAGGCUGCUCCCGGCUGGGGUUUUGGGGCCGGAUUAUGGAUUGAGACGCACAGCUGAGAGGCUAAACUUACACCUUUCAUUCUAGCUUCAAGGGGGUCUCAAUACUUCCUAGAAGCCAGAUUCCAGACCUUUCAUUUGGUCCUGCCAAUGAAUGGACCUUUAACUACUGACUCGUUAUGAGGUCGCUUAUGAUGUGCUGUUGAAAAUUAAAUUCAUAAAAUUAU